GGGGUGGUCGAUUCCGAAACGUACGGCAACUGGGCGUUGGGCGCGACGUGGGGGCUGUUGCGGCGCUGAGGCAGAUGCGGCUAGGGUUUUCCUCUUUUGUUUUUUUUUGUUUUGCUGUAUUGGGCUCGGGUUUGUAUUUGUUUGUUGGUUUGGGCUGUUUUUUUGUUUUGUUUGGAGCCAGGCCGAUUGGGCCUUAUUACAGUAUUGAUACUCAAAUUAAAAUUGAUACCAUUUUGACAUUUUGUUUUAUUUAGAUACUAUUCAUUUAGUCAAGUAUUGAUACCAUAUGCCAAAGUAUCGAUACUUAUCUCAAAAAUGGUAAAAAUCUUAUCUUAGCAUAUUCAAUUCAUGCCAAAAAGUUAC
Molecule: long non-coding RNA, 363 nt
Filed under: Gossypium raimondii (Peruvian cotton)
Lineage: Eukaryota; Viridiplantae; Streptophyta; Magnoliopsida; Malvales; Malvaceae
Description: long non-coding RNA (GRAI_LNC002326)
Source: RNAcentral